Schistosoma rodhaini is the source of this 46-nucleotide non-coding RNA. Lineage: Eukaryota; Metazoa; Platyhelminthes; Trematoda; Strigeidida; Schistosomatidae. The record is from Rfam.
GCACUGCUGAGGAGUCCCAUAAUAGGACGAAACGACCGUCCAAUGC